Molecule: non-coding RNA, 25 nt
Filed under: Cricetulus griseus (Chinese hamster)
Lineage: Eukaryota; Metazoa; Chordata; Mammalia; Rodentia; Cricetidae
Source: RNAcentral
ACUGAGCAGCCCCAGAGCGGCCAGC